This 62-nucleotide transfer RNA is filed under the name Capitonius sp. QL-2013. RNAcentral's name for it is "tRNA-Leu". The record is from RNAcentral. Lineage: Eukaryota; Metazoa; Arthropoda; Insecta; Hymenoptera; Braconidae.
AUUACUUUGACAGAUUAAUGUAAUAAAUUUAGAAUUUAUAAAUGUAUAAAAUACAAGUAAUA